CCUGCAUGUCUAAGUAUAAGCAAUUAUACAGCGAAACUGCGAAUGGCUCAUUAUAUAAGUUAUCGUUUAUUUGAUAGUACCUUACUACUUGGAUAACCGUGGUAAUUCUAGAGCUAAUACAUGCUAAAAAUCCCGACUUCGGAAGGGAUGUAUUUAUUAGAUUAAAAACCAAUGCCCUCUGGGCUCCUUGGUGAUUCAUGAUAACUCUUCGAAUCGCACGGCCUUGCGCCGGCGAUGGUUCAUUCAAAUUUCUUCCCUAUCAACUUUCGAUGUUUGGGUAUUGGCCAAACAUGGUUGCAACGGGUAACGGAGGGUUAGGGCUCGACCCCGGAGAAGGAGCCUGAGAAACGGCUACUACAUCCAAGGAAGGCAGCAGGCGCGCAAAUUACCCAAUCCCGAUUCGGGGAGGUAGUGACAAUAAAUACUGAUACAGGGCUCUUUUGGGUCUUGUAAUUGGAAUGAGUACAAUUUAAAUCCCUUAACGAGGAACAAUUGGAGGGCAAGUCUGGUGCCAGCAGCCGCGGUAAUUCCAGCUCCAAUAGCGUAUAUUAAAGUUGUUGUGGUUAAAAAGCUCGUAGUUGAACCUUGGGCCUGGCUGGCCGGUCCGCCUCACCGCGUGCACUGGUCCGGCCGGGCCUUUCCCUCUGUGGAACCCCAUGCCCUUCACUGGGCGUGGCGGGGAAACAGGACUUUUACUUUGAAAAAAUUAGAGUGCUCCAGGCAGGCCUAUGCUCGAAUACAUUAGCAUGGAAUAAUGAAAUAGGACGCGCGGUUCUAUUUUGUUGGUUUCUAGGACCGCCGUAAUGAUUAAUAGGGACAGUCGGGGGCAUCAGUAUUCAAUGGCAAGAGGUGAAAUUCUUGGAUUCAUUGAAGACUAACUACUGCGAAAGCAUUUGCCAAGGAUGUUUUCAUUAAUCAGGAACGAAAGUUAGGGGAUCGAAGACGAUCAGAUACCGUCGUAGUCUUAACCAUAAACUAUGCCGACUAGGGAUCGGACGAUGUUAUUUUUUGACGCGUUCGGCACCUUACGAGAAAUCAAAGUGCUUGGGCUCCAGGGGGA
Molecule: ribosomal RNA, 1060 nt
Filed under: Cordyceps sp.
Lineage: Eukaryota; Fungi; Ascomycota; Sordariomycetes; Hypocreales; Cordycipitaceae
Description: SSU rRNA
Rfam family: Eukaryotic small subunit ribosomal RNA
Source: RNAcentral